Non-coding RNA from Mycena alexandri, 93 nucleotides. NCBI's taxonomy places the organism in Eukaryota, Fungi, Basidiomycota, Agaricomycetes, Agaricales, Mycenaceae. The record is from the annotation of a GenBank genome assembly.
GACCUGGUGGUGUAACCGGUAACGCGCACAUUUACUGUAGGACGACACAUAAUCUUUAAAUGUGAGACCCUUGUUCGAUUCAAGGUCACGUCG